RNAcentral lists this transfer RNA (72 nucleotides) under Indotyphlops braminus (Brahminy blind snake). RNAcentral describes it as "tRNA-Gln". It matches the Rfam family "tRNA". From Rfam's summary of the family: Transfer RNA (tRNA) molecules are approximately 80 nucleotides in length. The record is from RNAcentral. Lineage: Eukaryota; Metazoa; Chordata; Lepidosauria; Squamata; Typhlopidae.
UAAGAGUUGGUGUAAUUGGUUGCACAGGAGGUUUUGAGUCUCUUGGUUCAGGUUCGAGUCCUGAGCCCUUAG